This 503-nucleotide unclassified non-coding RNA is filed under the name Hevea brasiliensis (rubber tree). The record is from RNAcentral. Lineage: Eukaryota; Viridiplantae; Streptophyta; Magnoliopsida; Malpighiales; Euphorbiaceae.
CUUUUUGGUAUUUGUUUGUGUACAUCUGCCAUCGCACAACUUACAAAAGGGCGAAACAAGGAAGACAAGGAUAGCCCAGACCUGCAAUCUCUUGCAACUGCAGCCUUGGAGAAAGAAUACAAGCAUAGGGCUUCUGGAAAGGUUCCUGUGCUUGCUUCUGCAUUAAAAAGCUUGAAAGUUUCGUAACUUCUUUGCAAUUGAAGGAAGCUUUCUAUCCUUGACCAUGUUCCAGGAUCUUCAUCAUAGCCUAAAUGGAAGGCUAGAAAUCUGCAGAUUUAUAAUUUAAAAGAGUGUUUAGUUUUUUUUGUUUUGUUUUCCUUGCAUGGAUUUUUCUUCGUGCUCUUUUUUCUCCCUCAUUGAAUUUCUUACAGGAGGACAUGAUGUAUUAUUUUAGAAUGCUUCAUUAAGCAGGCAAGGAACAUCGUGAGAGAGAUAUUUUUCUCCCAUUGCAUAGUUUCAGAUUUAAUUCACUUCCAAUGGGAGAAAAAUAUCUCUCUCACGAU